GACGAACCGUGCGAACGUUGUUCGGAAUUACUGGGCGUAAAGGGCUCGUAGGCGGCCAACUAAGUCAUACGUGAAAUCCCUCAGCUUAACUGGGGAACUGCGUGUGAUACUGGAUGGCUUGGAUUUGGGAGAGGGAUGCGGAAUUCCAGGUGUAGCGGUGAAAUGCGUAGAUAUCUGGAGGAACACCGGUGGCGAAGGCGGCAUCCUGGACCAAUAUUGACGCUGAGGAGCGAAAGCCAGGGGAGCAAACGGG
This 253-nucleotide ribosomal RNA is filed under the name uncultured bacterium. Its description in RNAcentral is "partial 16S ribosomal RNA". It matches the Rfam family "Bacterial small subunit ribosomal RNA", at positions 524 to 776 of the family's 1533-position model. The record is from RNAcentral.